GACGAACGCUGGCGGCGUGCUUAACACAUGCAAGUCGAGCGGUAAGGCCCUUUCGGGGGUACACGAGCGGCGAACGGGUGAGUAACACGUGGGUGACCUGCCCUUAGCUCUGGGAUAAGCCUGGGAAACUGGGUCUAAUACCGGAUAUGACUCCAUGACGCAUGUUGUGGGGUGGAAAGCCUUGUGCGGCUAGGGAUGGGCCCGCGGCCUAUCAGCUUGUUGGUGGGGUGAUGGCCUACCAAGGCGACGACGGGUAGCCGGCCUGAGAGGGCGACCGGCCACACUGGGACUGAGACACGGCCCAGACUCCUACGGGAGGCAGCAGUGGGGAAUCUUGGACAAUGGGCGCAAGCCUGAUCCAGCCAUGCCGCGUGAGUGAAGAA
This 383-nucleotide ribosomal RNA is filed under the name uncultured bacterium. RNAcentral's name for it is "bacterial SSU rRNA". It matches the Rfam family "Bacterial small subunit ribosomal RNA", at positions 28 to 412 of the family's 1533-position model. The record is from RNAcentral.